AUCAUAGGCAUUCUUUAACCAGACGGUCAAAUCCUAAUCAAGCUCGUUGUGGAUGCUCUCCAACUUUGCCAUCGGAACUUAGUCAAGCCCAGUGCAAGUGCUCCCUGACUCUCCAAUCAAGUAGAGAUUCUACACUAGCACACGUCUCCCCUUGGCCUUCAGGGAGGCACCGCUCCGAAGAGACAACCUUAAGAGAAAAUUGCAGGAGAUGUAGCAGCAAAUCGAGGCCCUAAAGGGAUGUGCUCAAAUCAAUGAAUUUCAGUUUAACAUGGAUCUAUCAUUUAGCCAGA
RNAcentral lists this long non-coding RNA (290 nucleotides) under Elaeis guineensis (African oil palm). RNAcentral describes it as "long non-coding RNA (EGUI_LNC003128)". Lineage: Eukaryota; Viridiplantae; Streptophyta; Magnoliopsida; Arecales; Arecaceae. The record is from RNAcentral.